UUGAGAGCAGUUACCGUGGACUCCAGCUGUCUAGCUUCCUCGUCGGUAUAUUUUGGCAUUGUUUCGUGCUCAGCAUGCGUCUUCUGGUUUGUUGAUAAUUUGAUGUUUUCUUGUUUAAGUGCUGCGAUCUCCUUAUCUUUUGAGCUUAUGCAGAUAGCAGCUUCCUGCAACCUUUGCUUCAAAGCAGUUGCCGCAGUCUCCAGAUGCCAGGCUUUUUCGUUGGCAUCUCUACGCACUACCUCCAUGUUGUGAAGAUCAGCAGCUUGUCUCUGCAAUGCUGUGAUCAGCUCGUCUUUUGAGCUGCUGUGAUCAUCUCAUCUUUUGAGC
Cyprinodon tularosa is the source of this 327-nucleotide long non-coding RNA. RefSeq lists it as uncharacterized. Lineage: Eukaryota; Metazoa; Chordata; Actinopteri; Cyprinodontiformes; Cyprinodontidae. The record is from RefSeq and is a predicted model, not a curated record. The transcript is spliced from 3 exons.